CAGAGGUGGCAAGCGUUGUUCGGAAUUACUGGGCGUAAAGGGCGCGUAGGCGGCCUUCUAAGUCAGACGUGAAAUCCCCCGGCUUAACCUGGGAACUGCGUCUGAUACUGGAGGGCUUGAGUAUGGGAGAGGGAUGUAGAAUUCCAGGUGUAGCGGUGAAAUGCGUAGAUAUCUGGAGGAAUACCGGUGGCGAAGGCGGCAUCCUGGACCAUUACUGACGCUGAGGCGCGAAAGCUAGGGGAGCAAACGGGAUUAGAUACCCCGGUAGUCCUAGCCCUAAACGAUGAAUACUUGGUGUGGCGGGUAUCGAUCCCUGCCGUGCCGAAGCUAACGCAUUAAGUAUUCCGCCUGGGGAGUACGGUCGCAAGGCUG
This 372-nucleotide ribosomal RNA is filed under the name uncultured organism. RNAcentral's name for it is "bacterial SSU rRNA". It matches the Rfam family "Bacterial small subunit ribosomal RNA", at positions 526 to 896 of the family's 1533-position model. The record is from RNAcentral.